Nasonia vitripennis (jewel wasp) is the source of this 571-nucleotide long non-coding RNA. RefSeq lists it as uncharacterized. The transcript is spliced from 3 exons. The record is from RefSeq and is a predicted model, not a curated record. Lineage: Eukaryota; Metazoa; Arthropoda; Insecta; Hymenoptera; Pteromalidae.
GGCGCGGCGCUCGGUAAUUUACGAGGAUUUUUGCUUUGUUUACGCGUGUUACUGUUGUUGUUGCUGUGUCGGUGUGAGGUUAGUUUUUGUGUGGGACAGUGUGACGAGUAUUGUUUGACUGAUUUGAGUGAUGGGAAGACGAUCGAAGAUGGUGUGCACGGCGAAUGGACCCGGACGAGUUGCAUCAUUGCUGUACCUAUCUCAGGAAUUUCGUAUGUGUACAUAUCCGAGGCACUGAAUGAUACACGUGUAGCCCAUGUUAUUGCAAUGAAUGAAAAAGAUUUAUUAGAAAACAUCCAAAGUCUAACUAACUGGCAAGUUGGUGCGAUUCUCCUUGCCGAUGAAGCGACCGAUGGGGUAGAGUCCUGGACCUUUGGGCGCUUGGUUGUCCAGCGCUAUCAAAGUGUAAUUGCCUUCUGGAUCUCCGUUCUCGUCCAUGUACACCAUGUACCUGUGGUCAACAGACAGGCGAAGGGCAAACUGUUAGAGACGCCAUCAGUCGUCACGGUAACAGCGGACAACUUCCGAUUGACUGUACGACUUUGCUAGCUUUCAGUUCUCUCUCUCUCUC